AUUGAACGCUGGCGGCAUGCCUUACACAUGCAAGUCGAACGGUAACAGGUCUUCGGAUGCUGACGAGUGGCGAACGGGUGAGUAAUACAUCGGAACGUGCCCGAUCGUGGGGGAUAACGAAGCGAAAGCUUUGCUAAUACCGCAUACGAUCUACGGAUGAAAGCAGGGGACCGCAAGGCCUUGCGCGAACGGAGCGGCCGAUGGCAGAUUAGGUAGUUGGUGGGAUAAAAGCUUACCAAGCCGACGAUCUGUAGCUGGUCUGAGAGGACGACCAGCCACACUGGGACUGAGACACGGCCCAGACUCCUACGGGAGGCAGCAGUGGGGAAUUUUGGACAAUGGGCGAAAGCCUGAUCCAGCCAUGCCGCGUGCAGGAUGAAGGCCUUCGGGUUGUAAACUGCUUUUGUACGGAACGAAAAGACUCUGGUUAAUACCUGGGGUCCAUGACGGUACCGGAAGAAUAAGCACCGGCUAACUACGUG
Molecule: ribosomal RNA, 482 nt
Filed under: uncultured bacterium
Lineage: Bacteria
Description: partial 16S ribosomal RNA
Rfam family: Bacterial small subunit ribosomal RNA
Source: RNAcentral